Paramisgurnus dabryanus is the source of this 1919-nucleotide non-coding RNA. The record is from RefSeq and is a predicted model, not a curated record. Lineage: Eukaryota; Metazoa; Chordata; Actinopteri; Cypriniformes; Cobitidae.
GCGACAAAUGAUUAAAAUUUUGGUCAGUGAGCUCGCACAAAUCUAUAGUGGCUUCAAAAUAUGUGUAACAUAGUGCACGGAGUCUGAUGGACUAUAAUUUUCAUUUUUGAGGCUACAGGAGGACAUCACACACUUCAGAAGACGGAGAGUUGUACAUUGACACAGUUCAGCCCACAACCCCUGCUCAAGGUUGCAUUGAAAAGCUUGUGUCUGCUUUUCCCAUAAUCUCUGCACCCAGUGUCUCUCUCCAAAUUACAGACUUCCUUCAGUAAAGGGAAACUGCACCUUGCAUGUAUACGGUACGCUAUGGAUGUCACCAUCCUAGAGCUGUGACUUAUCUUCCACUGGGCGAGAUUGAUACAGAGAUGAAAGUGGAAUAUUCCUUCAAGCUGGGGGUGCCAGCAUAGACAGUAAAAGAAAUGGACACAGCGACCCCAUUGGAUUCAACGGAGACAAGUGAAGUCAAUUUGAAGCAUGCACUUCCUGGGUGUCCAGCGUACUGCGCAGACUCAAACUGAGCUUAAUGACAUAGAUGUCAUAUGAGCAACCUGUCUGACAAUUGUAAGUCUUCUAAUAGCCGUGCCACACAAAAUCUGAAUCACCCACCAAAUCUUGCAGAGACUGUGAGGGUGAACAGGAGCAAAUUUUGGUGGCCACGAAGGGAUGCAGCGAGGGGGCAAUGCCGGAAAGCUUGAGAACCGCUGCAGUAAGGCCAUAUCAGACCACAGUCAGGUGAAGCUUUUGACCUAGGCCAAUAGGCAGCCAACUAAGAGUAACUCAGCCCGACACGAAUCUGCAGAACAGAUGGGAGAACAUCGAGGAGAUGUGAAACCAGCGUCUGAUAACAGCCGUCUCACGGCGGCCGUUCUGCGUCUUACCUAACCUUGAUCUAUUAUCCAGACCAGCACAAAACUGUGUUCACAUCAGAAAGAUUGCCAGUGCCCUUUGUCUGGACUACAGCCUGCACUUAUUCACAUAUAGAUCAAUGGAGCGCCAUCUUAUGGCAUCUUGUUACAUCGCUAAAAAAUGAACAGAGGAUGGCUGAAAUGGAAGCUCCGGCGUGUCUGUGUCCUCCCGCGGGAUCUGCCUUUCAGUCUGGGAUGCACUUUUACAUCCAUCAUACAUGAUGAGUCCAGACGGUCAAAUGUGUGUCGAAGUGCGCCUUACAGAUGCUGCUCAUGAGACUGCAGGGAGGCAGACCGCAGAUCUCCAGUAACGUCUGCAGGGGAGCAGCUCUCACGCUUCAUUGCAGUACGUUUAAUGCCUUUCACCAGGUAAUGAGGCAGAUGACUCAACUUCCUGUUAACACAAUGAAUAAUUAUCUGUCUGAGACAAAGACAAACAGACAGAGAGAGAGAGAGAUGGUGAGUGAGUUAGUGAUGGAGAACAAGCAAUAGAGACAUGGUCUUAGGGGUCAGCUGCCAAUAGCUUGUAAUCCCAUACGAAAUAAGAAACAGUGAUGAGAUCUCUUUAUUAUCUCAAUUUUUUCACAUAGUUUUUGUCACAAAUGGUCUUAAUUUCUUCUAAGUAAUUUUUGUUAUUACUUAAAUGGAACAUGAGAACUCAAAUCUCCUAAGCUAUGCCAAAACAACAUUUUCUGAGCGAGCAACAAGAUUUUCCUCUGAGUUGCUUUGUAAUUUAAUGUGUUUUCACAGUGUAUUAUACAUGUACAUCUGGAAAGCACAGUUGGCCACAUUUAUAAUUGAGAAGUGCACAUCUUCGCUUGACUGUUGACUGGCACAAAGCAAUGCAACUUUGAUGCGUAUGCAUGCUAUGAUGGACACUUUACUGGCUUUAGUUUCUUGUCAAACCAACCUUAUAGUCUUAGAUUGUUGUACUUUAGGUAUUUAAAGGGUCACGCACAUAUUGAACGGUAGCUUUUGUUUUGUGUAAUAGAGCAGAUGGUGUUUACACUGCAA